UGGGGAAUUGUUCGCAAUGGGCGCAAGCCUGACGACGCAACGCCGCGUGAGUGAUGAAGGCCUUAGGGUUGUAAAGCUCUUUUACCCGGGAUGAUAAUGACAGUACCGGGAGAAUAAGCCCCGGCCAACUCCGUGCCAGCAGCCGCGGUAAUACGGAGGGGGCUAGCGUUGUUCGGAAUUACUGGGCGUAAAGCGCACGUAGGCGGCUUUGUAAGUUAGAGGUGAAAGCCUGGAGCUCAACUCCAGAACUGCCUUUAAGACUGCAUCGCUUGAAUCCAGGAGAGGUGAGUGGAAUUCCGAGUGUAGAGGUGAAAUUCGUAGAUAUUCGGAAGAACACCAGUGGCGAAGGCGGCUCACUGGACUGGUAUUGACGCUGAGGUGCGAAAGCGUGGGGAGCAAAC
Molecule: ribosomal RNA, 401 nt
Filed under: uncultured bacterium
Lineage: Bacteria
Description: bacterial SSU rRNA
Rfam family: Bacterial small subunit ribosomal RNA
Source: RNAcentral